Molecule: ribosomal RNA, 801 nt
Filed under: uncultured bacterium
Lineage: Bacteria
Description: bacterial SSU rRNA
Rfam family: Bacterial small subunit ribosomal RNA
Source: RNAcentral
AGAGUUUGAUCCUGGCUCAGGAUGAACGCUGGCGGCGUGCUUAACACAUGCAAGUCGAGCGAAGCGCUUUAACGGAAUUCUUCGGAAGGAAGAUAAAGUGACUGAGCGGCGGACGGGUGAGUAACACGUGGGUAACCUGCCUCACACAGGGGGAUAACAGUUAGAAAUGACUGCUAAUACCGCAUAAGACCACAGCACUGCAUGGUGCAGGGGUAAAAACUCCGGUGGUGUGAGAUGGACCCGCGUCUGAUUAGGUAGUUGGUGAGGUAACGGCUCACCAAGCCGACGAUCAGUAGCCGACCUGAGAGGGUGACCGGCCACAUUGGGACUGAGACACGGCCCAAACUCCUACGGGAGGCAGCAGUGGGGAAUAUUGCACAAUGGGCGAAAGCCUGAUGCAGCGACGCCGCGUGAAGGAAGAAGUAUUUCGGUAUGUAAACUUCUAUCAGCAGGGAAGAAAAUGACGGUACCUGACUAAGAAGCCCCGGCUAACUACGUGCCAGCAGCCGCGGUAAUACGUAGGGGGCAAGCGUUAUCCGGAUUUACUGGGUGUAAAGGGAGCGUAGACGGCUCUGUAAGUCUGGAGUGAAAACCCGGGGCUCAACCCCGGGACUGCUUUGGAAACUAUGGAGCUAGAGUGUCGGAGAGGUAAGUGGAAUUCCUAGUGUAGCGGUGAAAUGCGUAGAUAUUAGGAGGAACACCAGUGGCGAAGGCGGCUUACUGGACGAUGACUGACGUUGAGGCUCGAAAGCGUGGGGAGCAAACAGGAUUAGAUACCCUGGUAGUCCACGCCGUAAACGA